GCCCAUCUGACAACCGCCCAACGCCUAAUUUCACCACCGGGCGGUUUCCCUCAAGCCGCAGCACCGCCCGACGCUCAAUUUCACCGCCCGGCGCUGGUCAACCGGACUCUGGUCAACUUUUCAAUAUUCUGGUCAACUGGUUGACUAGUUGACUUUUCUAGUUGACCGGUUGACUUUUCUGGUGGACUUGUUGACUUUUCUGCAUUUUGUUUGACUUUUUUG
Molecule: long non-coding RNA, 222 nt
Filed under: Vigna radiata
Lineage: Eukaryota; Viridiplantae; Streptophyta; Magnoliopsida; Fabales; Fabaceae
Description: long non-coding RNA (VRAD_LNC016184)
Source: RNAcentral